UGGCCUCAACAGUUCCUGGGUGGAGCUAC
RNAcentral lists this non-coding RNA (29 nucleotides) under Mus musculus (house mouse). The record is from RNAcentral. Lineage: Eukaryota; Metazoa; Chordata; Mammalia; Rodentia; Muridae.